AGAGCCAUAGCACAGUGGUAGAGCAAUAUGCUUUGUACACAAAAGGUCCCAGAUUCAAUUCUUGGUGUCUCCA
Molecule: non-coding RNA, 73 nt
Organism: Podarcis lilfordi (Lilford's wall lizard)
Lineage: Eukaryota; Metazoa; Chordata; Lepidosauria; Squamata; Lacertidae
Source: the annotation of a GenBank genome assembly